UGGGGAAUAUUGGACAAUGGAGGAAACUCUGAUCCAGCAAUUCUGUGUGUGUGAAGAAGGUUUUAGGACUGUAAAACACUUUUAGUAGGGAAGAAAAAAAUGACGGUACCUACAGAAGAAGCAACGGCUAAAUACGUGCCAGCAGCCGCGGUAAUACGUAUGUUGCGAGCGUUAUCCGGAAUUAUUGGGCUUAAAGGGCAUCUAGGCGGUAAGACAAGUUGAAGGUGAAAACCUGUGGCUCAACCAUAGGCUUGCCUACAAAACUGUUGAACUAGAGUACUGGAAAGGUGGGUGGAACUACACGAGUAGAGGUGAAAUGCGUAGAUAUGUGUAGGAAUGCCGAUGAUGAAGAUAACUCACUGGACAGAAACUGACGCUGAAGUGCGAAAGCUAGGGGAGCAAACAGG
This 407-nucleotide ribosomal RNA is filed under the name Verrucomicrobiota bacterium. RNAcentral's name for it is "Verrucomicrobia bacterium partial 16S ribosomal RNA". It matches the Rfam family "Bacterial small subunit ribosomal RNA", at positions 355 to 776 of the family's 1533-position model. The record is from RNAcentral. Lineage: Bacteria; Pseudomonadati; Verrucomicrobiota.